RNAcentral lists this ribosomal RNA (253 nucleotides) under uncultured bacterium. Its description in RNAcentral is "partial 16S ribosomal RNA". It matches the Rfam family "Bacterial small subunit ribosomal RNA", at positions 524 to 776 of the family's 1533-position model. The record is from RNAcentral.
UACGUAGGGUGCAAGCGUUAAUCGGAAUUACUGGGCGUAAAGCGUACGCAGGCGGCUAUGUAAGACAGGUGUGAAAUCCCCGGGCCUAACCUGGGAACUGCAUUUGUGACUGCAUAGCUAGAGUCCGUCAGAGGGGGGUGGAAUUCCACGUGUAGCAGUGAAAUGCGUAGAGAUGUGGAGGAACACCUGCGGCGAAGGCGGGUUGCUGGGCCGACACUGACGCUGAGGCGCGAAAGCUAGGGGAGCGAACGGG